Molecule: ribosomal RNA, 160 nt
Filed under: uncultured bacterium
Lineage: Bacteria
Description: partial 16S ribosomal RNA
Source: RNAcentral
CACGGAGUUAGCCGGUGCUUCUUCUGCGGGUAACGUCAAUGAGCAAAGGUAUUAACUUUACUCCCUUCCUCCCCGCUGAAAGCACUUUACAACCCGAAGGCCUUCUUCAUACACGCGGCAUGGCUGCAUCAGGCUUGCGCCCAUUGUGCAAUAUUCCCCA